GACAUCCUUAAUUCCGCCAAUCAGUGGGGAGAACUUGCCAGAGCACAGAGAAAAUGGUGAGUUGAUGGGUGAGAAUGUGAAAGAAGAUGCUCAGCAUGAUGAUGAGGUUGUUCCUUUGGAUUCGGAUCUAUCUUUCCCCAAGUUGGUGCCUGAUGAUGUGAAAGAGACACUAGGGACAUCUGAUUCUAGUGCCUUGGAGGCUCCUGCAAGUAUCCCAGAUGAAAGCUCUGAGGUGGAAAUCAAACGUGACCCUGAACCUGAGUUGAUUGAAAAUAUUGAUAGAGAUGCUGAACAAGUGACUGACCAAAAGACUGAAAAUCCUGUGGACGAGUUUUUGAUGUCCUCAGAUCAACAAUCUUCCCAAGCUGAUGCAUCAAGUGAACCCAUCCCUCUUCCUGAAAAAACUG
Molecule: long non-coding RNA, 407 nt
Filed under: Setaria italica (foxtail millet)
Lineage: Eukaryota; Viridiplantae; Streptophyta; Magnoliopsida; Poales; Poaceae
Description: long non-coding RNA (SITA_LNC001782)
Source: RNAcentral